RNAcentral lists this ribosomal RNA (520 nucleotides) under uncultured Paraglomus. RNAcentral describes it as "SSU rRNA". It matches the Rfam family "Eukaryotic small subunit ribosomal RNA", at positions 569 to 1091 of the family's 1831-position model. Lineage: Eukaryota; Fungi; Glomeromycota; Glomeromycetes; Paraglomerales; Paraglomeraceae. The record is from RNAcentral.
AGCAGCCGCGGUAAUUCCAGCUCCAAUAGCGUAUAUUAAAGUUGUUGCAGUUAAAAAGCUCGUAGUUGAAUUUCAGGCCUGGCUGGACGGUCCGCCUUUUGGGUGAGUACUGUCUGUGGUCGGGUCCUACCUUCUGGCGAAGCGUCAUGGCCUUAACCGGCCGUGGCGGGGAACCAGGACUUUUACUGUGAAAAAAAUUAGAGUGUUCAAAGCAGGCAGUCGCUUGAAUACAUUAGCAUGGAAUAAUGGAAUAGGACAAUGGUUCUAUUUGUUGGUUUCUAGGACUUGUUGUAAUGAUUAAUAGGGAUAGUUGGGGGCAUUAGUAUUCAAUUGUCAGAGGUGAAAUUCUUGGAUUUAUUGAAGACUAACUACUGCGAAAGCAUUUGCCAAGGAUGUUUUCAUUAAUCAAGAACGAAAGUUAGGGAUCGAAGACGAUCAGAUACCGUCGUAGUCUUAACCAUAAACUAUGACCGACUAGGAAUCGGGCGAUGUUGACAAAAUGACGCGCUCGGCACCUCAU